Molecule: small nuclear RNA, 90 nt
Filed under: Choloepus hoffmanni (Hoffmann's two-fingered sloth)
Lineage: Eukaryota; Metazoa; Chordata; Mammalia; Pilosa; Megalonychidae
Source: RNAcentral
GUGCUCACAUAUACUAAAAUUUGAACACUAGAAAAGAUUAGCAUGGCCCCGUGCAAGGAAAACAAAAGAAUUUGUGAAGCAUUCAUUUUU